RNAcentral lists this ribosomal RNA (496 nucleotides) under uncultured bacterium. Its description in RNAcentral is "partial 16S ribosomal RNA". It matches the Rfam family "Bacterial small subunit ribosomal RNA", at positions 29 to 507 of the family's 1533-position model. The record is from RNAcentral.
AUGCACGCUUGCGGCGUGCCUAAUACCUGCAAGUCGAGCGAACAGAUGAGGAGCUUGCUCCUCUGACGUUAGCGGCGGACGGGUGAGUAACACGUGGAUAACCUACCUAUAAGACUGGGAUAACUUCGGGAAACCGGAGCUAAUACCGGAUAAUAUAUUGAACCGCAUGGUUCAAUAGUGAAAGACGGUUUUGCUGUCACUUAUAGAUGGAUCCGCGCCGCAUUAGCUAGUUGGUAAGGUAACGGCUUACCAAGGCAACGAUGCGUAGCCGACCUGAGAGGGUGAUCGGCCACACUGGAACUGAGACACGGUCCAGACUCCUACGGGAGGCAGCAGUAGGGAAUCUUCCGCAAUGGGCGAAAGCCUGACGGAGCAACGCCGCGUGAGUGAUGAAGGUCUUCGGAUCGUAAAACUCUGUUAUUAGGGAAGAACAAAUGUGUAAGUAACUAUGCACGUCUUGACGGUACCUAAUCAGAAAGCCACGGCUAACUACGUG